RNAcentral lists this ribosomal RNA (383 nucleotides) under uncultured bacterium. Its description in RNAcentral is "bacterial SSU rRNA". It matches the Rfam family "Bacterial small subunit ribosomal RNA", at positions 521 to 896 of the family's 1533-position model. The record is from RNAcentral.
UAAUACAGAGACCUCAAGCGUUAUCCGGAAUCAUUGGGCGUAAAGCGUGCCGAUAGGUGGUUUUAUUAGUCUUGGGUAAAAGCCAGAAGCUCAACUUCUGAGUUUGCUUAAGAUACUGUAAGACUAGAGGGACAGAGAGGUGGCUGGAACUAACGGUGUAGGGUUAAUAUCCGUUGAUAUCGUUAGGAACACCGAAAGCGAAGGCAGGCCACUGGUUGUCACCUGACACUGCUAGGACGAAAGCGUGGGGAGCAAAAAGGAUUAGAUACCCUUGUAGUCCACGCUGUAAACGAUGAAUACUAGGCAUGCGCGAGUAUCGACCCUCGUGCGAGCCGUAGCUAACGCGUUAAGUAUUCCGCCUGGGGAGUACGGUCGCAAGACUA